GACAGUGUGGUGCAGUGGUUUCAGCAUUGGAAGACAACUCUGGAGGCCAGGGUUCAAAUCCCCGCUUUGCCA
Phrynosoma platyrhinos (Desert horned lizard) is the source of this 72-nucleotide non-coding RNA. NCBI's taxonomy places the organism in Eukaryota, Metazoa, Chordata, Lepidosauria, Squamata, Phrynosomatidae. The record is from the annotation of a GenBank genome assembly.